AUUCAAAUAACGAGUCCCAAAUAGGAGGAAAUACGCAUCCUGGAU
Molecule: non-coding RNA, 45 nt
Filed under: Trichobilharzia regenti
Lineage: Eukaryota; Metazoa; Platyhelminthes; Trematoda; Strigeidida; Schistosomatidae
Source: RNAcentral